UACAGAGGGGGCAAGCGUUGUCCGGAGUUACUGGGCGUAAAGGGUCCGCAGGCGGCUAUGCAAGUGUCGUGUGAAAGCCCCGUGCUUAACACGGGGAGGCCACGGCAGACUGCACAGCUCGAGGGAUGCAGAGGGUGGUGGAAUUGCCGGUGUAGUGGUGAAAUGCGUAGAGAUCGGCAGGAACACCCAGGGCGAAAGCAGCCACCUGGGCAUCAUCUGACGCUGAGGGACGAAAGCGUGGGGAGCGAACCGG
RNAcentral lists this ribosomal RNA (253 nucleotides) under uncultured bacterium. RNAcentral describes it as "partial 16S ribosomal RNA". It matches the Rfam family "Bacterial small subunit ribosomal RNA", at positions 524 to 776 of the family's 1533-position model. The record is from RNAcentral.